AGUAGACCAGAUAAUAGAGGGUCCGAAGGGGAGUAAAUGUCCUAGAUGUGUGCUGUAUAUGAGACAAGAAGUGUGGCCGUGAAAUGAAGACCCGGAAGGGUCGUGUCGGGUAUGCUAAGUGCAAGCUGUGUGUGUUAUAAUCUGGUGUGACGAAUACAGAUAGAGAGAUAGAUUGGUGGAGCUGAGAGUGAAAUCUAGUGGAAGUAAAGUUAAAG
This 215-nucleotide long non-coding RNA is filed under the name Carica papaya (papaya). Its description in RNAcentral is "long non-coding RNA (CPAP_LNC006607)". The record is from RNAcentral. Lineage: Eukaryota; Viridiplantae; Streptophyta; Magnoliopsida; Brassicales; Caricaceae.